AGCUGGAGUUACUAGUAAUCGCAGAUCAGAAUGCUGUGGUGAAUGCGUUCCCGGGUCUUGUACACACCGCCCGUCACACCACGGAAGUUGGGGGCGCCCGAAGCCACUUAGCUUAACCCUUUUGGGAAGCGAGUGUCGAAGGUGAAAUCAAUAACUGGGUGAAGUCGUAACAAGGUAAC
This 179-nucleotide ribosomal RNA is filed under the name uncultured bacterium. Its description in RNAcentral is "partial 16S ribosomal RNA". It matches the Rfam family "Bacterial small subunit ribosomal RNA", at positions 1324 to 1500 of the family's 1533-position model. The record is from RNAcentral.